CAACCCUUACGUAACCUCAAAAUAUCUGUAGCUAAAGUGGCUUUGGGUAGCUCUGGCUAGCCCCCGUGCUCCAGCCCAGCGCUGGUGUGGGAGUCUGGUGUCCUCUGCUUCGGGGGGUGGAUAGAAAGAUGAAAACUGCGAACUGAGGCUUUCUGGGAAAAUAGUCUCGGCCUCACCCCGUAUGCACCGUGUCAGGGAGCCAGUGAGAUGAAGGGCACAUGAACAUGAACGCCAGCGCUUCAGACACACGGCUCGUGAUGGAGGGAGUCGCUAUCAAUGAGAGUAGCAGUGACGUGCAGAGCUUUG
Clupea harengus (Atlantic herring) is the source of this 306-nucleotide long non-coding RNA. Lineage: Eukaryota; Metazoa; Chordata; Actinopteri; Clupeiformes; Clupeidae. The record is from Ensembl.